AUCUUUGCGCUUGGGGCAAUGACGCAGUUAUUGAGGUGAAACCGAGACGCGUCAAUUGCUGGUUGAAAACUAUUUCCAUAUAUAUGUAUUUCUUCGAGACCGGAGUUAAGCUUCUUUUAACAAAAUCAGCGUACUGA
RNAcentral lists this small nuclear RNA (137 nucleotides) under Marchantia polymorpha subsp. ruderalis. RNAcentral describes it as "U4 spliceosomal RNA". It matches the Rfam family "U4 spliceosomal RNA". From Rfam's summary of the family: U4 small nuclear RNA (U4 snRNA) is a component of the major U2-dependent spliceosome. The structure of U4 snRNA from yeast and human has been reported. U4 snRNA presents a k-turn RNA motif in the 5p-SL related to recognition of Snu13 protein. Lineage: Eukaryota; Viridiplantae; Streptophyta; Marchantiopsida; Marchantiales; Marchantiaceae. The record is from Rfam by way of RNAcentral.